Molecule: ribosomal RNA, 109 nt
Filed under: Salix viminalis (osier)
Lineage: Eukaryota; Viridiplantae; Streptophyta; Magnoliopsida; Malpighiales; Salicaceae
Source: RNAcentral
AGGUGUAUCUAGCCUAAUUCACGAGACUCCGUAAGAACUAUGAAGUUGAGCUUGUUUGGGCUAGAGAAGUACUAGGAUGAGUGAUAUCACGCGAAUCAUUGUGCACCUC